Molecule: non-coding RNA, 166 nt
Organism: Bos taurus (domestic cattle)
Lineage: Eukaryota; Metazoa; Chordata; Mammalia; Artiodactyla; Bovidae
Source: Rfam
CAUUCUUCUGAUCAUCUGCAGAUCAGCAAUUAGAAAAGAAAGAUCAGCUACCUCCUUGGGACCUGAUCAUAACACAGGAGCUACCGAUUUCAACUACUCCGGCCUAACUCUCUCCUAAACAAUGAAAUAUACAAGCUAUUUCUUAGCUUUACUGCUCUGUGGGCUU